Molecule: long non-coding RNA, 287 nt
Filed under: Mytilus galloprovincialis (Mediterranean mussel)
Lineage: Eukaryota; Metazoa; Mollusca; Bivalvia; Mytilida; Mytilidae
Source: RNAcentral
CUAAUGCCUCGUUCACACGUACCUUUAAUUCGAAUUGAAUUCGAAUCGAAUGCGAAUCAAAUUCGCUAAUCGCGUUCACACACUCUUCUUUUUUAAUUCGAAUUGAUUCGAAUUGGCUAAUUCGAAUUAACUAAUUCGCAUUAGAAAUACGUUUUUGUUAAUCCGAAUUAAAAGUUAACGUCGUUAGGACAGUAAAGCGAAUUUGACGCGCAUUCCAAUUCGAAUUAGAAUUGACGUUAGGACGUUAAACGUUUCGAAUGCGAAUUAAACUAAUUCGAAUUAGUUAA